RNAcentral lists this ribosomal RNA (841 nucleotides) under Pleosporaceae sp. LM275. RNAcentral's name for it is "eukaryotic LSU rRNA". The stretch from base 1 to 361 matches the Rfam family "Eukaryotic small subunit ribosomal RNA", at positions 1472 to 1831 of the family's 1831-position model. The record is from RNAcentral. Lineage: Eukaryota; Fungi; Ascomycota; Dothideomycetes; Pleosporales; Pleosporaceae.
CCUUGAGUUCUGGGCCGCACGCGCGCUACACUGACAGAGCCAACGAGUUCUUCACCUUGGCCGAAAGGUCUGGGUAAUCUUGUUAAACUCUGUCGUGCUGGGGAUAGAGCAUUGCAAUUAUUGCUCUUCAACGAGGAAUGCCUAGUAAGCGCGUGUCAUCAGCAUGCGUUGAUUACGUCCCUGACCUUUGUACACACCGCCCGUCGCUACUACCGAUUGAAUGGCUCAGUGAGGCGUUCGGACUGGCUCGGGGAGGUUGGCAACGACCACCCCAAGCCGGAAAGUUCGUCAAACUCGGUCAUUUAGAGGAAGUAAAAGUCGUAACAAGGUCUCCGUAGGUGAACCUGCGGAGGGAUCAUUACACAACAAAAAUAUGAGGGUGUGGUUUGCUGGCAACAGCGUCCGCCCCAAGUAUUUUUCACCCAUGUCUUUUGCGCACUUUUUGUUUCCUGGGCGAGUUCGCUCGCCACCAGGACCCAACCAUAAACCUUUUUUUAUGCAGUUGCAAUCAGCGUCAGUAUAAUAAUUCAAUUUAUUAAAACUUUCAACAACGGAUCUCUUGGUUCUGGCAUCGAUGAAGAACGCAGCGAAAUGCGAUACGUAGUGUGAAUUGCAGAAUUCAGUGAAUCAUCGAAUCUUUGAACGCACAUUGCGCCCUUUGGUAUUCCAAAGGGCAUGCCUGUUCGAGCGUCAUUUGUACCCUCAAGCUUUGCUUGGUGUUGGGCGUCUUUUUGUCUCUCCCCUUGUUGGGGGAGACUCGCCUUAAAACGAUUGGCAGCCGACCUACUGGUUUUCGGAACGCAACACAAAUUUGCGCCUUCCAAUCCACAGGGCGGCAUCC